RNAcentral lists this long non-coding RNA (2068 nucleotides) under Prunus dulcis (almond). RNAcentral describes it as "sRNA ncRNA". Lineage: Eukaryota; Viridiplantae; Streptophyta; Magnoliopsida; Rosales; Rosaceae. The record is from RNAcentral.
UAUCAAUUUCUUUCAUGGUAUCAGAGCAAGGCUUCAUAUGUUGGGCCCAACGGCCACACGUGCUCCCACAUUGAAAUGUUAAAGGACCUAGCCUGGGUUUAUAAGGAGUUGGGCUACUCCCCUCAUUGCCAAUUGGUUUUGGGGUGGAACCUCAACUUCUUUCAUGGCAGACCUUAGCCGACCUCCAUGGCAGCCAACCUCCAUGGCAGAAAGCAAACCAUCAGGCACGGCUUCGGAAACCAAGUGGGGUAAUCCCAAUCACCAACUAUACCUUCAUUAUUCAGACCAACCCGGUGCUAUUCUUGUGCCGCAGCCUUUGGUCGAAGAUAAUUACAGCACAUGGAAACAAUCCAUGACUAUGGCCUUAACGAUCAAGAACAAAGUCGGACUCAUAGAUGGUUCGAUCGAAGAGCCGAAUGGGAAGGAUCCAAGUGAAUGGCAGCAAUGAAAUCGUUGCAAUACUUUGGUCCAAACUUGGCUGCUAGGAUCGAUGUCAAAAGACAUCGCCAGCAGCAUGAUUAAAUGCAAGAAUGCUAGGCAGAUGUGGCUGGAACUGCAGGAGAGAUUCUCACAUGUGAACGUGUUCAACUGUUCAAUAUCAAGAACGAGAUUCAUGACUGUGCGCAGGGAAGUAUGUCCGUGGGAUCUUAUUUCACGAAAUUGAAGGGACUAUGGGAUGAACGUGACGCUUUGUGCACCUUCCCAACCUGCACUUGUGGAUUUGUCAAAGAAAUGGCUGCAUAUUUGGACACGCAGAAGACCAUGAAGUUCCUCAUGGGUCUCAAUGACUCAUAUGCAAGUGUUCGUAGCAACACUUUGCUGCAAAAUCCCUUACCCACAGUGAACAAGGCGUACUCCCUAGUUCUGCGGCAUGAGAAGUAAUCGGAAGUGACAACGGGUAAAGCUCAGGCACAACCAGAUGCGGCCGUGUUUGCCGUGAAGAAUUCUAGCCGUGAAUCCGAAGGAGAAAAGGGUGAGUUGAAGUGCACCAAGUGCAACAAAACAAAUCACACUGCCAAGAAUUGCCGUGCACACCUAAAAUGCACGUUUUGCUGAUGGAAGGGUCACACAUCCGAUUAUUGCCGCAAGAAGAAGGCAGCGGCUGAGGCCGAGUUUGGUGCGAUGAUUUCCAAAGGGAACCAAGCAGCAACGUGUGUGACAGAGAGGAAAGAGAUGCAAUUCCCCUUUAUUGCUGAAGAGUGCAAACAGAUAUUGAGUUAGCUGCAUAACAGGUCCUCCUCUGCUAAUCAUGUUGGUAAUUCCACAACCCAUGCCCUUUCAGGUAAAGCCUUUUCACUCAACUCUAAUAGCAAACAAAGUACUUGGAUUUUAGAUGGUGGAUGCAUGGACCAUAUGAUUUAUGAUUCCAACCUGUUCUCUACCUCGAGGCCGGUCACUAAUCACACAGUAGAAUUGCCGAAUGGGUCCGUGGCACAAGUGACCCACAUUGGCACAGUUGCCUUGUCUCCCAAAUUGAUUCUUGAGAACGUUUUGUGUGUCCCGUAUUUCAAAUUGAAUUUGAUUUCUAUUAGCAAGUUAGCCAAUUCAUCUUACAUAACCAUUUUUCUAAACCAAUUUUGUAUCAUACAGGACCUAUGUUCGGGGAUGAUGAUUGGGACGAGAAUUGAACGGGAGGGCCUCUACCCGAUCGAGGCAAGACAGGAACAUGCAAUCAGGCACAAAAAUCCAGCCCAUCCCUUUGGCACCAACGCCUUGGCCAUCUAUCUCCCAGAGUUCUUCCAUUAUUCUCUUUUCCAAAUUUGAAACAUACCUCUUGUGAUACUGACAAGUGUGCAAUUUGCCCUUUGGCUAAACAAACAAAACUUCCUUUUCCUUCAAGUUCAAUUACUACUCAUUCUAGUUUUGAUUUAAUUCAUAUUGACAUAUGGGGUGGUUAUAAAGUUGCUUCGAUUUCAGGUGCCAAAUAUUUUCUUACCAUUGUUGAUGAUUACACUAGAUGCACAUGGAUUUAUCUUAUGAAACACAAGUCUGAUGCUAGGACUCUUCUAGUUAAUUUCAUCAAUAUGAUUGCCACUCAAUUUGAUUCCAAAAUUAAGAUCAUCUGUAG